GCGUCCGCAGCUCAGUUGGUAGCAGCGCCGCUGUGACAUGGCGGAGGUCGGCCGUUCAAAACCCGUCGGGACGCACCA
Molecule: transfer RNA, 78 nt
Filed under: Bradyrhizobium japonicum
Lineage: Bacteria; Pseudomonadati; Pseudomonadota; Alphaproteobacteria; Hyphomicrobiales; Nitrobacteraceae
Description: tRNA-Val
Source: RNAcentral